RNAcentral lists this ribosomal RNA (425 nucleotides) under uncultured bacterium. RNAcentral describes it as "partial 16S ribosomal RNA". It matches the Rfam family "Bacterial small subunit ribosomal RNA", at positions 354 to 796 of the family's 1533-position model. The record is from RNAcentral.
GUGGGGAAUCUUAGACAAUGGGGGAAACCCUGAUCUAGCCAUGCCGCGUGAGCGAUGAAGGCCUUAGGGUUGUAAAGCUCUUUCAGCUGGGAAGAUAAUGACGGUACCAGCAGAAGAAGCCCCGGCUAACUCCGUGCCAGCAGCCGCGGUAAUACGGAGGGGGCUAGCGUUGUUCGGAAUUACUGGGCGUAAAGCGCGCGUAGGCGGACUGAAAAGUUGGGGGUGAAAUCCCGGGGCUCAACCUCGGAACUGCCUUCAAAACUAUCAGUCUGGAGUUCGAGAGAGGUGAGUGGAAUUCCGAGUGUAGAGGUGAAAUUCGUAGAUAUUCGGAGGAACACCAGUGGCGAAGGCGGCUCACUGGCUCGAUACUGACGCUGAGGUGCGAAAGCGUGGGGAUCAAACAGGAUUAGAUACCCCUGUAGUCC